GAGGAAUAUUGGGCAAUGCCCGCACGGGUGACCCAGCAACGCCGCGUGGAGGAUGAAUGUCGUAAGAUUGUAAACUCCUGUUAGAGGGGAAGAAUAGUACCGGUUGGACCGGUAUAUGACUGUACCCUCAGAGAAAGCCCCGGCUAACUACGUGCCAGCAGCCGCGGUAAUACGUAGGGGGCAAGCGUUGUCCGGAUUUACUGGGUGUAAAGGGCGCGCAGGCGGGAUAAAAAGUCAGUGGUGAAAUCCUACAGCUUAACUGUAGAACUGCCUUUGAUACUUUUAUUCUUGAGUUCGGGAGAGAGAGACGGAAUUCCAGGUGUAGUGGUGAAAGACGUAGAUAUCUGGAAGAACACCAGUUGCGAAGGCGGUCUCUUGGUCCGACACUGACGCUGAGGCGCGAAAGCGUGGGGAGCAAACA
Molecule: ribosomal RNA, 421 nt
Filed under: uncultured bacterium
Lineage: Bacteria
Description: bacterial SSU rRNA
Rfam family: Bacterial small subunit ribosomal RNA
Source: RNAcentral